GUGUCAGCCGCCGCGGUAAGACAGAGGGUGCUAGCGUUGUUCGGAAUCAUUGGGCGUAAAGCGCGCGUAGGCGGCGAAAUGUGUCGGAUGUGAAAUACCUCGGCUCAACCGAGGAAGUGCAUCCGAAACUAUUUUGCUUGAGUGCCGGAGAGGGUGGUGGAAUUCCCAGUGUAGAGGUGAAAUUCGUAGAUAUUGGGAGGAACAUCCGUGGCGAAGGCGACCACCUGGACGGACACUGACGCUGAGGUGCGAAAGCGUGGGGAGCAAACAGGAUUAGAAACCCCAGUAGUCC
This 292-nucleotide ribosomal RNA is filed under the name uncultured bacterium. Its description in RNAcentral is "partial 16S ribosomal RNA". It matches the Rfam family "Bacterial small subunit ribosomal RNA", at positions 505 to 796 of the family's 1533-position model. The record is from RNAcentral.